UUGGAGGGCAAGUCUGGUGCCAGCAGCCGCGGUAAUUCCAGCUCCAAUAGCGUAUAUUAAAGUUGUUGCAGUUAAAAAGCUCGUAGUUGAAUUUCGGGAUCAAAUUGUCGGUCGUGCCUCGGUACGCACUGGUAUUAUUGGUUCCUACCUUCUGAAGAACCGCGACGUCAUUAAUUUGGUGUCGUGGGGAAUCAGGACUGUUACUUUGAAAAAAUUAGAGUGUUUAAAGCAGGCUUACGCUUGAAUACAUUAGCAUGGAAUAAUGAAAUAGGACGUUUGAUUCUAUUUUGUUGGUUUCUAGGAUUGACGUAAUGAUUAAUAGGGAUAGUUGAGGGCAUUAGUAUUCAAUUGUCAGAGGUGAAAUUCUUGGAUUUAUUGAAGACUAACUACUGCGAAAGCAUUUGCCAAGGAUGUUUUCAUUAAUCAAGAACGAAAGUUAGGGGAUCGAAGACGAUCAGAUACCGUCGUAGUCUUAACCAUAAACUAUGCCGACUAGGGAUCGGAUGAUGUUAAUUUUUUAAUGACUCAUUCGGCGCCUUACGGGAAAC
This 548-nucleotide ribosomal RNA is filed under the name uncultured Glomeromycotina. Its description in RNAcentral is "SSU rRNA". It matches the Rfam family "Eukaryotic small subunit ribosomal RNA", at positions 548 to 1098 of the family's 1831-position model. The record is from RNAcentral. Lineage: Eukaryota; Fungi; Glomeromycota.